CCUACGGGUGGCUGCAGUGGGGAAUUUUGGACAAUGGGGGCAACCCUGAUCCAGCCAUUCCGCGUGAGUGAAGAAGGCCUUCGGGUUGUAAAGCUCUUUCGCAAGGGAAGAAAACUUACUCAAUAACACUGGGUGAGGCUGACGGUACCUUGAUAAGAAGCACCGGCUAACUACGUGCCAGCAGCCGCGGUAAUACGUAGGGUGCGAGCGUUAAUCGGAAUUACUGGGCGUGGUUUUUUAGCAGGGAUUUGAAAUCCCCGGGCUCAACCUGGGAACUGCGUUUGAAACUACAAGGCUAGAGUAUGGCAGAGGGGGGUAGAAUUCCACGUGUAGCAGUGAAAUGCGUAGAGAUGUGGAGGAAUACCAAUGGCGAAGGCAGCCCCCUGGGUCAAUACUGACGCUCAUGCACGAAAGCGUGGGGAGCAAACAGGAUUAGAUACCCGUGUAGUC
RNAcentral lists this ribosomal RNA (450 nucleotides) under uncultured bacterium. RNAcentral's name for it is "partial 16S ribosomal RNA". It matches the Rfam family "Bacterial small subunit ribosomal RNA", at positions 338 to 795 of the family's 1533-position model. The record is from RNAcentral.